Molecule: long non-coding RNA, 589 nt
Filed under: Gopherus agassizii (Agassiz's desert tortoise)
Lineage: Eukaryota; Metazoa; Chordata; Testudines; Testudinidae
Description: lncRNA (ENSGAGG00000012868.1)
Source: RNAcentral
AGGAAACUCACAUUAUUCUCUUCAUGGCCAGCAGAAGAAAUAGAAUUUCUUGUUCACUGCUCCCUACAGAGAUUUUACAGGACAGGAACAACUGUUGUCCCAGAAAGUUUAAACUCUUACUUCUUAGUAGUUGUAAAAUCGGGUCGAUGUCUGAUAGUGACACAAGUGGAUCAAGAGAGAAUAUAUGCACACUCCAAUGAAAUGCAGAAUUUUUCUUCUCUUUGUGAUGACUUUAUCACAAUAUCAUCAUUAAAAGAAAAGAAGGAUUUGACUAGAAGACUUUGGGAAAGAUCUCUUUAUUCAGCUGCUCAGAGAACUCCUCUUACUCAGAUGCCCAGAAGACCAAGACCUCAAACAGCUGCAGUAUUAUGUUAUUCGCUCAGGGACAGAAAAGCCUUUGGUGACCUGGAACAGAAAGGUAAUGAGGCACUACAUGUGAACCUAAUAGAAGGUGGCUUCAUCAGUUCCUCAGUUCCUGAAGAUAAGGGCGCUGGAACAAGGUGGCAUUUUUGUAAGUUUUUGUGAUUAAAUCUGUUGUGAAGUUGUGUGUGUGGGUUUGUGUAUUUUAAAAAAUAGCUAUAACUUCCCA